UAGGGAAUCUUCCACAAUGGACGCAAGUCUGAUGGAGCAACGCCGCGUGAGUGAAGAAGGUUUUCGGACCGUAAAGCUCUGUUGUUGGUGAAGAAGGAUAGAGGUAGUAACUGGCCUUUAUUUGAACGGUAAUCAACCAGAAAGUCACGGCUAACUACGUGCCAGCAGCCGCGGUAAUACGUAGGUGGCAAGCGUUGUCCGGAUUAUUGGGCGUAAAGCGAGCGCAGGCGGAAGAAUAAGUCUGAUGUGAAAGCCCUCGGCUUAACCGAGGAAUUGCAUCGGAAACUGUUUUCUUGAGUGCAGAAGAGGAGAGUAGAACUCCAUGUGUAGCGGUGGAAUGCGUAGAUAUAUGGAAGAAUACCAGUGGCGAAGGCGGCUCUCUGGUCUGCAACUGACGCUGAGGCUCGAAAGCAUGGGUAGCGAACAGGAUUAG
RNAcentral lists this ribosomal RNA (433 nucleotides) under uncultured bacterium. Its description in RNAcentral is "partial 16S ribosomal RNA". It matches the Rfam family "Bacterial small subunit ribosomal RNA", at positions 355 to 781 of the family's 1533-position model. The record is from RNAcentral.